CCCAGGACACUAUAUCGCCGACCCUUUCAUUUAUUAAGCACAUGCGGAAGCAGUUAUAAAUCCCCAGACAAUAAAACAAUGGGAUAGAAAAGCAGGGCCAUAUUUUUCAUAUUGAAAAUUAUAACCAAACUUUUAUACAAAACAAAAACCACUUCAAAACUAUUCACAUCAAAAUGGAGAUCUCAAAAGAAGAUAGGAUCUCAAUCCAUCCAUGCCAUCCUCAAGGCCCAUCUCGGUAUUAUCUUCUUCUUUCAAAAUCCUUCCCUUCAAGUUUCACCUCCAAGAUCUCCUUCCCAGACUUCUCCUCCUCAGCUCCUUAUCGGGUCCUGAAAUGUUUUUCCCCAAACUGGGAUGAGACUACGUCUCAGCGAGUUCUACCCCACUAAGCCCGAUUAGUAAACCAUUAUACUAAAGGCUGCCUAUACACGCAUAGGGCAAAAGACGUACCUUAGCAUCAGAUCCCACCUGCAAGUUAGUACAAUUCACAUAGGCACUCAAGCAAUCAUAUCACCGAUCGAAGCAUCGGUCUAAUCGACUUAAUCGAUUACACACCAACAAGACCACUCACGGUCAUUUCCAUUCAAUCAAUCAAUUCGCAACAUCAAAUCAAAGCAAUGAUCAAUCAUAUUGAAUCACACUCAGAUCGAAUCAUCGAUCAAUCGACCUAGUCGAUUACAAGUCAGUCGAAUCAUUUCUAGGUUAUUCACUCCAUCUCACAUAAUCUCCAAUAGUACACUUAGUCACAGAGCUCCAUCAAUGCUCUCGGGCGUCGUUUUCGCCAAAGUGAUAUAAGUAUCAGACGGUCUACGUGCGUUCUUUAAGGCGCCGUUUUUGCACAGUGAUAUUCCUCAUCACCGAACCACGCCCGUCACAGAUCACAAAUCACUGACAGUCUACGUGCGUUCUUUAAGGCGCCGUUUUCGCACAGUGAUGUCUUUCAUCACCGAACCACGCCUGUCAUGAUUCAUAGGUAGUCUACGUGCGUUCUUUAAGGCGCCGUUUUCGCACAGUGAUGUCUUUCAUCACCGAACCACGCCUACCAUAAGUCAUAGACAGUCUACGUGCGUUCUUUAAGGCGUCGUUUUCGCACAGUGAUGUACUUUAUCACCGAACCACGCCUGUCUAUACUUCGUACUUGAUCGGUCUCAGCCAAUAGAAUUCUCAGUUAGUUCUCAUCACUCUCUCCACUUACAGCUCAACAAGGCAGUACAAAUGCUAACUAUCCAUACUCGGCCAUCUACCAAUCAAUCAUUCCAUCUCAAUCAAUUCCAAAUCAAUUUAGGGUAAAUCCCUAAAAUAUCACAAUUUAUUCAAUUCCAUACAACGUGGAGCUCAAUUAAAUAAACGGACUGCGCCAUAACGAUCAGCACGAGAUUUCGGUCGUCGGCCAUCAAAAUCUUAAUUUCCGAAAAAUAAUCAAUUAAUUAAUUAAUUUCGAAAAUUAAAUAAUAAUUACUAAAAAUUCCAUUUAACUAAGAAUAAGGCCCAAUUAAAUAAACGGACUUCACCACGGUCAUCAGCAUAAUUUUCCGAUUCCGAACCAUCUCCCUUGAAUUUUCGGAAAAUAAAUAAUUAUUUAAUUUAAUUCCAAAAAUUAAUAUUUAAUUUCCCAAAAAUCUCACUUAGGCCCGAAUCGCCAAAUUGAUGCCCGAUUAGGGAUCCGAAAAUUCCCGAGAUGCCUUCAAUAAAUAGUAGACCACGUCUACUUGCUAAUUGCACAAUCAAUUUAUUUAAAUCACAUCACAAUUGACUAAUAAUUACUAAUUUAUUCUAAUCUAACAACCUAAACAUAAUUAAUUAAAACUAAAUCAACCUAAAGCAUAAUUAGCCAACUAAUCCAGGAUUAGUGAGAUUACUCACCAAAUCGCGCGCAAAUCGGAUCAAUCCGACGGCGGCGACGCGAGGAACAAUUCUUCCCAAAGCGGGCCUCGGGUUCGGGGCCGGGAAACGGCCCAAAAUGGCCCACGAACAGCUGGAUACCCACUCCGUGGGUUUGCUGGUUCGGCCGCAAAACAGCAAGAAAGAGAGAGGGUUGGGGGCGGCAAGAGGUCGGGAGAGCGGGUGGUGGCUUGGCGAGGCCGAGCGGUGGCCCACGGUGGCCGGAGGUGGCCGGAUCGUGGCCGAACAGAGCUGGACAGAGGAUGGGCAGCAGCUGGAUCGCGCGGGGGAGCACGCUUGGGCGCGAGGGAUGGCCGGCGGAACGCGCGGCGUUGUGCAGGCGGCGUCGCGGGCGGUUCGGCUCCGGUGCGGCGACGGGACGGGCGACGGUGGUCCUCGGCGAGCUGCUGCUCUUCUUUGCUGGUUUUGGUCUGGUUCGCACAAAGAAGAAUGAAGAAGAAGAAGAAGGUCACGUGGGGGAGAAGAGAGAGGAGAGAGAAGAAGAGAUAAGGUUGAAUGGUCAAAGGGAGAGAGAAAGAGAGAGUUGGCGUGGGGAGGGGGCUGUCCGCACGGAAGAAAAGGGGAGAGAAGAGAGAGAGAAAGAGAGAAAAAGAAAAAGAAAGAAAAGAAGAGAGAGGGAGAGAAAAGAAAUACUAAUAUAAUACCACAUGGUAUUAUUUUUCUUUUCUCUUUCCCUUUCUAUUUUCUUUUGGUCUUCAGAUUUUCUUCCCAUAAUUUCUUUAUUGAAAUUUCGGGCCCGUCAAUAAAUUGACGAGCGAUGAGAC
This 2663-nucleotide long non-coding RNA is filed under the name Eucalyptus grandis. RNAcentral describes it as "long non-coding RNA (EGRA_LNC006111)". Lineage: Eukaryota; Viridiplantae; Streptophyta; Magnoliopsida; Myrtales; Myrtaceae. The record is from RNAcentral.